Molecule: long non-coding RNA, 628 nt
Filed under: Cricetulus griseus (Chinese hamster)
Lineage: Eukaryota; Metazoa; Chordata; Mammalia; Rodentia; Cricetidae
Description: lncRNA (ENSCGRG00015036258.1)
Source: RNAcentral
CUGUUGAGUACGUGAUACCCGGCACAACAUCAGCACCGGGUCCGAGAACAGAGAGACAGUGGUUCGAGACCCGGUGGAUCAAGACCCGGAGCUGUGAUUUGAGCACAGCACUGACUGGGAGACACAGGCCGGUGGAUCUCUGAGUCUACAGAGCAAGAUCCAGGACAGCCAUGGCUACACAAUGAGACCCUGUCUGAACAAGCAGCAGACUUAUCCUUGGCUUGAGACCAGCAGCUGACACUCCUGAGACCAUUCUGAGCAACCUAUUGUGCUAUAGAUAGGAGGCAUGCCCCAGCCCACCCAUCUACCCACCCACCCCUCUACAGGAGCCCAGACCCUUCUGCAGCCUGCAGUGCCUGUGACAAAUGCAGGCAGGCCAGCCACACCAGAAACCACAGAAGCAGCCUCCGCCCACCAUGACCAGGGACUAUAGUCUCCCAAGACUAUGGAGUUUCUCUCUGACCUACUGGAUGGUGCUGAUUGUAGCAAAAGAGCCAACAUGUAGGAGUGAACAGCUGUCUGAACAACCGAAUUGUGUGUGCCCUGGACAUCAGAGUGCCCUUAUGCCAAUUGUUUCAUCAGUCAACUCAUUUUCAUAACAGCACCACAAAUUCAAAAACAAAUAAAC